CCCGACGAUGUCCAGAAGUCGAGGUCAUAGUUGGUGGUCACGGUGUGUCGUAAAAUAGUGGGCGUAAAGCGCAGGCAGGCAGUUCUUUAAGUCCUAUGUGAAAGCCCACGGGUCAACCGUGGGGGUGCAUUUGAAACUGGGGGACUUGAGUGCAGAAGAGGAAAGCGGAAUUCCACGUGUAGCGGUGAAAUGCGUAGAGAUGUGGAGGAACACCAGUGGCGAAGGCGGCUUUCUGGUCUGUAACUGACGCUGAGGCGCGAAAGCGUGGGGAGCAAACAGGAUUAGAUACCCGGUAGUC
This 298-nucleotide ribosomal RNA is filed under the name uncultured Lactobacillus sp. RNAcentral's name for it is "partial 16S ribosomal RNA". The stretch from base 53 to 298 matches the Rfam family "Bacterial small subunit ribosomal RNA", at positions 549 to 795 of the family's 1533-position model. Lineage: Bacteria; Bacillati; Bacillota; Bacilli; Lactobacillales; Lactobacillaceae. The record is from RNAcentral.